Molecule: microRNA, 22 nt
Filed under: Danio rerio (zebrafish)
Lineage: Eukaryota; Metazoa; Chordata; Actinopteri; Cypriniformes; Danionidae
Description: Dre-Mir-2189_5p* (star (passenger))
Source: RNAcentral
ACAGCUGAUGCAACCAAUCAAA